This 440-nucleotide ribosomal RNA is filed under the name uncultured bacterium. RNAcentral describes it as "partial 16S ribosomal RNA". It matches the Rfam family "Bacterial small subunit ribosomal RNA", at positions 338 to 795 of the family's 1533-position model. The record is from RNAcentral.
CCUACGGGUGGCAGCAGUAGGGAAUUUUGCUCAAUGGGCGAAAGCCUGACGCAGCCACGCCGCGUGAACGAGACGCCCUUCGGGGUGUAUAGUUCUCUCAUUGGGGACGAAAAAUGACGGUACCCACAGAGGAAGCACCGGCUAACUCCGUGCCAGCCGCCGCGGUAAUACGGAGGAUUCAAGCGUUAUCCGGAUUUAUUGGGUUUAAAGGGUGCUUAGGCGGUCGUAUAAGUUAGAGGUGAAAUCCCGAGGGUCAACUUCGGCAUUGCCUCUGAUACUGUUCGGCUAGAGAGUAGUUGCGGUAGGCGGAAUGUAUGGUGUAGCGGUGAAAUGCUUAGAGAUCAUACAGAACACCGAUUGCGAAGGCAGCUUACCAAGGUACUUCUGACGUUGAGACACGAAAGCGUGGGGAGCAAACAGGAUUAGAUACCCCGGUAGUC